AAGUAAAAAUCUGCUGGGCCU
RNAcentral lists this non-coding RNA (21 nucleotides) under Arabidopsis thaliana (thale cress). The record is from RNAcentral. Lineage: Eukaryota; Viridiplantae; Streptophyta; Magnoliopsida; Brassicales; Brassicaceae.